GCCUGGGUGGCUCAGUCGGUUGAGCGUCCGACUUCAGCUCAGGUCACGAUCUCGCGGUCGUGAGUUCGAGCCCUGCAUCAGGCU
Molecule: non-coding RNA, 84 nt
Organism: Felis catus (domestic cat)
Lineage: Eukaryota; Metazoa; Chordata; Mammalia; Carnivora; Felidae
Source: Rfam